UGCGCAUCACCUCUUGCUUGUCUAGAUCAGCCCGGACGUUGGCAUGUGUAGCGUAUUUUGUCGGGUUUCGAGAUCAAGAAUCGAUGUCCCUUUGUUGGUUGGUUUUCCGAGAAUCCUUGACCCUUGAUUUGUUGCUUUCGCAUUGUUCGGUGCAUGUUUUUCGAGAAUCCUUGACCCUUGAUUUGUUGCUUUCGCAUCGUUCGGUGCAUGUUUUCCGAGAAUCCUUGACCCUUGAUUUGUUACUUUCGCAUCGUUCGGUGCAUUCUGGGGGAUGUUUUGGCUUUUGGUGGCUUACUUGGCCUUUUGGCUGGGUUUGUUGCUAUUGGUCGGGCGGCUUUCGGGAAUGUCGACCGUGGAGGUGCAUGAGUGGUGUUUGGUUUGUUACGUGUGGAUGGCUGUUUGCUUGCGCAACAACGUUCACGCUGCAUACCUCUUCAGUUUUGCGGCAAGGCUUGGUUUGGCUUGUGCAUAUUGUGGGUUUCCUGUGUUGCAUACCUAGUUGAAGGAAAAGUGUGGGUUUUACGAUUUUCAUUUUCGUCUUGCGUCGUUCUUUCGGCAUGGGAUGAGCAAUGAAGCGAUCUUUAUGAUCCAUCGUGCUGUUGUGUUUGCAACAAUGAUGUGGCCUAUGAAGCAUCGUUUGGUCUCUUGUAUACGGAAGCUCAUUUGGGCUUGGGUCUUCAUAAGAUCUUCGUUAUGCCCUUGUUAAGCGUUCUCGCUUCUCCUAAACGAUUG
Molecule: unclassified non-coding RNA, 732 nt
Filed under: Centaurea nana
Lineage: Eukaryota; Viridiplantae; Streptophyta; Magnoliopsida; Asterales; Asteraceae
Description: partial external transcribed spacer
Source: RNAcentral